Molecule: ribosomal RNA, 497 nt
Filed under: uncultured bacterium
Lineage: Bacteria
Description: partial 16S ribosomal RNA
Rfam family: Bacterial small subunit ribosomal RNA
Source: RNAcentral
GAUGAACGCUGGCGGCGUGCCUAAUACAUGCAAGUCGAGCGAACGGACGAGAAGCUUGCUUCUCUGAUGUUAGCGGCGGACGGGUGAGUAACACGUGGAUAACCUACCUAUAAGACUGGGAUAACUUCGGGAAACCGUAGCUAAUACCGGAUAAUAUUUUGAACCGCAUGGUUCAAAAGUGAAAGACGGUCUUGCUGUCACUUAUAGAUGGAUCCGCGCUGCAUUAGCUAGUUGGUAAGGUAACGGCUUACCAAGGCAACGAUGCAUAGCCGACCUGAGAGGGUGAUCGGCCACACUGGAACUGAGACACCGUCCAGACUCCUACGGGAGGCAGCAGUAGGGAGUCUUCCGCAAUGGGCGAAAGCCUGACGGAGCAACGCCGCGUGAGUGAUGAAGGUCUUCGGGUCGUAAAACUCUGUUAUUAGGGGAGAACAUAUGUGUAAGUAACUGUGCACAUCUUGACGGUACCUAAUCAGAAAGCCACGGCUAACUACGUG